This 859-nucleotide long non-coding RNA is filed under the name Pan troglodytes (chimpanzee). RNAcentral describes it as "lncRNA (ENSPTRG00000052922.1)". Lineage: Eukaryota; Metazoa; Chordata; Mammalia; Primates; Hominidae. The record is from RNAcentral.
GAGACACUGAAUGUCAGUUAGCAAAUAUUCCACGCACCCACGCCUCCAGGCUUCGGUAGAUUUUCAAGGCAGUGGGUGAGCCACUGUCUUGCCAGGACUCCCACUGACUCAAGGUCUUUCACUGCAACUACAACAUCCCUGUCACCUGGGGCAGGCUGGUCCCUGCACUUUGUGAAUGCAGAAACUGAGCAUGGCGAUCUUGGAGGCGUGCGGCAUCAUCUCCCUUCAAGAGAGAAUCUGUUUAGCUGUAAGGAGUGCACCAAACUUAAUUGGAAAGAUAAAAGCACAGAAAGCCUGGGAGAAGAAACACAUCCUACUUGUGUUGAUAAAGGCAGCGUGGAUGGAGGAGAUGAUCUUUGAGUUGAGGCUCCAGGUCGUUCUUCACACACCUGUGAAAUGGCAGUGCUUACAUUCUUGCCUCCACUUUGCCCCAGAACAGAGCUUAGCACAUUCUUUAUUCCGUAUGGCUGAUCCCUUGGGGGACAGCGCAGAGUGGUGACUUCUUCCACCAGCCUCUUUGCAAGAUACAUCCAUGACUGAUGGCAGUAAUAAAUGCCCUGGAUUAUUUCCUAGACCAUCUUCUCCUUAUCUGGAAAGAGUACACAACAGCAGGAGCCCCAUGAAGUGGAUGCAGCAAGGACUCCUAGAAAUAAGGGUACAAGAGUGAAAUUCUACUUCCACUCCCCAUCUUCCCAGGCCAUAUAUCCACAGGCCAGCUGCUUUCCUCUAAGGACCUCAGUCUCUUCAUCUGCAAGGUGGAGAUGGCACAGUAUUUGUUCUUCACGUACACCAGUGGGUUACUUUUCAUUUGCACUUACUUUCUAUUGACUGAGAAAAUCCUAAAUAAUCAACGAAUUUC